Molecule: long non-coding RNA, 227 nt
Organism: Coregonus clupeaformis (lake whitefish)
Lineage: Eukaryota; Metazoa; Chordata; Actinopteri; Salmoniformes; Salmonidae
Exons: 4
Source: RefSeq, a predicted model, not a curated record
GUGGUGUACCUAAUAAACUGUCCGGAAAUCUGGACUUUAGAUUGCUGCAAUUUCGACUUUGGCUGAAGAGAAAUGGAUCCUCUGAUUACUAUAGUUCUGGUGGUGACAGCAGCAGCAGCACAAGUUAGUGCCAUGGUCUGUAAUCUCUCUCAAGGGAAUGGAACUCACCAAUGCUAUGGGGCUUUGGGAGAAUCGUUGUCCUUACACCUUGGUUCACACAUUAGCAA